GGCAGUAUAGCUCAGUAGUAGAUUGCGUGUCUAGCAUGCACGGGAUCCUAGGUUCAAUCCCCAGUACUGAUA
RNAcentral lists this transfer RNA (72 nucleotides) under Camelus bactrianus (Bactrian camel). It matches the Rfam family "tRNA". Rfam says of the family: Transfer RNA (tRNA) molecules are approximately 80 nucleotides in length. The record is from Rfam by way of RNAcentral. RNAcentral also lists the same sequence under 1 other name. Lineage: Eukaryota; Metazoa; Chordata; Mammalia; Artiodactyla; Camelidae.